AGCGAACGCUGGCGGCAGGCUUAACACAUGCAAGUCGAGCGGGCACUUUCGGGUGUCAGCGGCGGACGGGUGAGUAACGCGUGGGAACGUGCCCUCUGGUUCGGAAUAACUCAGGGAAACUUGAGCUAAUACCGGAUACGCCCUUUUGGGGAAAGGCUUGCUGCCGGAGGAUCGGCCCGCGUCUGAUUAGCUAGUUGGUGAGGUAACGGCUCACCAAGGCGACGAUCAGUAGCUGGUCUGAGAGGAUGAUCAGCCACACUGGGACUGAGACACGGCCCAGACUCAUACGGGAGGGAGCAGGGGGGAAUAUUGGACAAUGGGCGCAAGCCUGACCCAGCCAGGCCGGGGGAGGUAAGAAGGAUUUAGGGUUGUAAAGCUCUUUUAUCCGGGAAGAUAAGGACGGUACCGGAGGAAUAAGCCCCGGCUAACUUCGU
Molecule: ribosomal RNA, 434 nt
Filed under: uncultured bacterium
Lineage: Bacteria
Description: partial 16S ribosomal RNA
Rfam family: Bacterial small subunit ribosomal RNA
Source: RNAcentral